RNAcentral lists this ribosomal RNA (253 nucleotides) under uncultured bacterium. RNAcentral's name for it is "partial 16S ribosomal RNA". It matches the Rfam family "Bacterial small subunit ribosomal RNA", at positions 524 to 776 of the family's 1533-position model. The record is from RNAcentral.
UACGUAGGGGGCAAGCGUUGUCCGGAAUCAUUGGGCGUAAAGGGCGCGUAGGCGGCCGAUCAAGUCGGGGGUGAAAGCCUGUGGCUCAACCACAGAAUUGCCUUCGAUACUGUUUGGCUUGAGACCGGAAGAGGUUAGUGGAACUGCGAGUGUAGAGGUGAAAUUCGUAGAUAUUCGCAAGAACACCAGUGGCGAAGGCGGCUGACUGGUCCGGUUCUGACGCUGAGGCGCGAAAGCGUGGGGAGCAAACAGG